UACGUAGGGGGCGAGCGUUGUCCGGAUUUAUUGGGCGUAAAGGGCGUGUAGGCGGUUUGGUAAGUCGGGGGUGAAAACCCAGAGCUCAACUCUGGGAGUGCCUCUGAAACUGCGAGACUUGAGUGCUCUAGAGGGUAGUGGAAUUGCCGGUGUAGCAGUGAAAUGCGUAGAGAUCGGCAGGAACACCAGUGGCGAAGGCGACUGCCUGGGGAGUAACUGACGCUGAGGCGCGAAAGCUGGGGGAGCAAACGGG
Molecule: ribosomal RNA, 253 nt
Filed under: uncultured bacterium
Lineage: Bacteria
Description: partial 16S ribosomal RNA
Rfam family: Bacterial small subunit ribosomal RNA
Source: RNAcentral